RNAcentral lists this ribosomal RNA (468 nucleotides) under uncultured bacterium. Its description in RNAcentral is "partial 16S ribosomal RNA". It matches the Rfam family "Bacterial small subunit ribosomal RNA", at positions 28 to 507 of the family's 1533-position model. The record is from RNAcentral.
GACGAACGCUGGCGGCGUGCUUAACACAUGCAAGUCGAACGGAAAGGCCCUGCUUUUGUGGGGUGCUCGAGUGGCGAACGGGUGAGUAACACGUGAGUAACCUGCCCUUGACUUUGGGAUAACUUCAGGAAACUGGGGCUAAUACCGGAUAGGAGCUCCUGCUGCAUGGUGGGGGUUGGAAAGUUUCGGCGGUUGGGGAUGGACUCGCGGCUUAUCAGCUUGUUGGUGGGGUAGUGGCUUACCAAGGCUUUGACGGGUAGCCGGCCUGAGAGGGGGACCGGCCACAUUGGUACUGAGAUACGGACCAGACGCCUACGGGAGGCAGCAGUGGGGAAUAUUGCACAAUGGGCGGAAGCCUGAUGCAGCAACGCCGCGUGCGGGAUGACGGCCUUCGGGUUGUAAACCGCUUUCGCCUGUGACGAAGCGUGAGUGACGGUAAUGGGUAAAGAAGCACCGGCUAACUACGUG